CACUUCUCUUCCUCUCUUGUUUUAUAGAGCAUUGGUUAGGGAAGAAACCAAUGGCUGCGAGGGGUGCAAUUGGGAUCGUGUCUUUAGUGCUGUUUUUGACUCUUGUUGAUGCAAGAAUUCCUGGUGUUUACACUGGUGGAUCAUGGCAAAGCGCCCAUGCUACUUUCUAUGGAGGCAGUGAUGCCUCUGGGACAAUGGGUGGUGCUUGUGGGUACGGAAACCUGUACAGCCAAGGCUACGGGGUGAACACUGCAGCUCUAAGCACAGCCCUGUUCAACAACGGCCUUAGUUGUGGUGCUUGUUUUGAAAUCAAAUGUGCUAAUGAUCCACAAUGGUGCCAUGCCGGUAGCCCAUCAAUCUUUGUCACAGCCACAAACUUUUGCCCUCCUAACUAUGCUCUGCCAAGUGACAAUGGCGGGUGGUGCAACCCUCCUCGUCCUCACUUCGAUCUUGCCAUGCCCAUGUUCCUCAAGAUCGCAGUGAGGACGAGGAGGGUUGCACCACCCG
This 507-nucleotide unclassified non-coding RNA is filed under the name Hevea brasiliensis (rubber tree). The record is from RNAcentral. Lineage: Eukaryota; Viridiplantae; Streptophyta; Magnoliopsida; Malpighiales; Euphorbiaceae.